This 335-nucleotide unclassified non-coding RNA is filed under the name soil metagenome. RNAcentral's name for it is "partial contains 5.8S ribosomal RNA, internal transcribed spacer 2, and large subunit ribosomal RNA". The stretch from base 1 to 120 matches the Rfam family "5.8S ribosomal RNA", at positions 35 to 154 of the family's 154-position model. The record is from RNAcentral.
GAUGAAGAACGUAGCGAAAUGCGAUAAGUAGUGUGAAUUGCAGAAUUCAGUGAAUCAUCGAAUCUUUGAACGCACAUUGCGCCCCUUGGUAUUCCAUGGGGCAUGCCUGUUCGAGCGUCAUUUGUACCUUCAAGCUUUGCUUGGUGUUGGGUGUUUGUCUCGCCUUUGCGUGUAGACUCGCCUUAAAAUAAUUGGCAGCCGGCGUAUUGAUUUCGGAGCGCAGUACAUCUCGCGCUUUGCACUCAUAACGACAGCGUCCAAAAGUACAUUUUACACUCUUGACCUCGGAUCAGGUAGGGAUACCCGCUGAACUUAAGCAUAUCAAUAAGCGGGGA